CAGUCGCCGCGGUAAAACGAAGGGUGCAAGCGCUAAUCGGAAUUACUAGGCGUAAAGCGUGCGUAGGCGGUGAGUUAAGUCUGCUGUGAAAUCCCCGGGCUCAACCUGGGAAUGGCAGUGGAUACUGGCUCGCUAGAGUGUGUCAGAGGAUGGUGGAAUUCCCGGUGUAGCGGUGAAAUGCGUAGAGAUCGGGAGGAACAUCAGUGGCGAAGGCGGCCACCUGGGACAACACUGACGCUGAGGCACGAAAGCGUGGGGAGCAAACAGGAUUAGAUACCCGCGUAGUCCCUGUCUCUUAUAC
Molecule: ribosomal RNA, 301 nt
Filed under: uncultured bacterium
Lineage: Bacteria
Description: partial 16S ribosomal RNA
Rfam family: Bacterial small subunit ribosomal RNA
Source: RNAcentral